UGCUUCUCUUUUUAGUGAACUCGGAG
RNAcentral lists this unclassified non-coding RNA (26 nucleotides) under Mus musculus (house mouse). RNAcentral's name for it is "oocyte_clustered_small_RNA5089". Lineage: Eukaryota; Metazoa; Chordata; Mammalia; Rodentia; Muridae. The record is from RNAcentral.